GAUGAACGCUGGCGGCGUGCCUAAUACAUGCAAGUCGAGCGAACAGACGAGGAGCUUGCUCCUCUGACGUUAGCGGCGGACGGGUGAGUAACACGUGGAUAACCUACCUAUAAGACUGGGAUAACUUCGGGAAACCGGAGCUAAUACCGGAUAAUAUAUUGAACCGCAUGGUUCAAUAGUGAAAGACGGUUUUGCUGUCACUUAUAGAUGGAUCCGCGCCGCAUUAGCUAGUUGGUAAGGUAACGGCUUACCAAGGCAACGAUGCGUAGCCGACCUGAGAGGGUGAUCGGCCACACUGGAACUGAGACACGGUCCAGACUCCUAAGGGAGGCAGCAGUAGGGAAUCUUCCGUAAUGGGCGAAAGCCUGACGGAGCAACGCCGCGUGAGUGAUGAAGGUCUUCGGAUCGUAAAACUCUGUUAUUAGGGAAGAACAAAUGUGUAAGUAACUAUGCACGUCUUGACGGUACCUAAUCAGAAAGCCACGGCUAACUACGUG
This 497-nucleotide ribosomal RNA is filed under the name uncultured bacterium. RNAcentral describes it as "partial 16S ribosomal RNA". It matches the Rfam family "Bacterial small subunit ribosomal RNA", at positions 28 to 507 of the family's 1533-position model. The record is from RNAcentral.